RNAcentral lists this ribosomal RNA (222 nucleotides) under Triticum aestivum (bread wheat). RNAcentral's name for it is "partial small subunit ribosomal RNA". Lineage: Eukaryota; Viridiplantae; Streptophyta; Magnoliopsida; Poales; Poaceae. The record is from RNAcentral.
AUGACCAAGGGCGCCUUCGUCCACUUCUCAAAUGCCCUUGGCAGCACUUCCAAUCGUGAUAUCACGCUUGAUCUUCAUGCCCUUCGGGUGUCGCAGUUUGAUCUUCUUGCGCUUGACGCGCCAUUCACCGAGGAGGAGAUUUGGAACACCGUCAAGAGCAUGCCGACUGGGAAGGCGCCCGGCCCUGAUGGAUUCACCACUGAGUUCUUGGUUGCCUGCUAG